AACGAACGCUGGCGGCAUGCCUAAUACAUGCAAGUCGAACGAGAUCUUCGGAUCUAGUGGCGCACGGGUGCGUAACGCGUGGGAAUCUGCCCUUGGGUUCGGAAUAACGUCGGGAAACUGACGCUAAUACCGGAUGAUGACGUAAGUCCAAAGAUUUAUCGCCCAAGGAUGAGCCCGCGUAGGAUUAGCUAGUUGGUGAGGUAAAGGCUCACCAAGGCGACGAUCCUUAGCUGGUCUGAGAGGAUGAUCAGCCACACUGGGACUGAGACACGGCCCAGACUCCUACGGGAGGCAGCAGUAGGGAAUAUUGGACAAUGGGGGCAACCCUGAUCCAGCAAUGCCGCGUGAGUGAUGAAGGCCUUAGGGUUGUAAAGCUCUUUUACCCGGGAUGAUAAUGACAGUACCGGGAGAAUAAGCCCCGGCUAACUCCGUGCCAGCCGCCGCCGUAA
Molecule: ribosomal RNA, 449 nt
Filed under: uncultured bacterium
Lineage: Bacteria
Description: partial 16S ribosomal RNA
Rfam family: Bacterial small subunit ribosomal RNA
Source: RNAcentral